AUCUUAUCCAGAGUAGCUGAGGGACGGGCCCUAUGACGCUCGACAACCGGCAUUUUCCAUUAGAAUGCAUCGGUGUCAAUUCCUGCAGGAUAGUGAUAAUCCUGAGAGAUAAGAU
Molecule: non-coding RNA, 115 nt
Filed under: Tepidanaerobacter syntrophicus
Lineage: Bacteria; Bacillati; Bacillota; Clostridia; Thermosediminibacterales; Tepidanaerobacteraceae
Description: SAM-I sequence
Rfam family: SAM riboswitch aptamer (S box leader)
About the family: The SAM riboswitch is found upstream of a number of genes which code for proteins involved in methionine or cysteine biosynthesis in Gram-positive bacteria. The SAM riboswitch acts at the level of transcription termination control.
Source: Rfam by way of RNAcentral